UGGCAAUAACAGGGUGAUGAGAACACCCCUCACAUCUGUUGAACACCCUCACAUCUCGUUCUCAUUCAAUUCUCAUGAGCCCGUGAGAAGGUGGGUCAGAUGUUUUCAGCUGCAUUUUAUGAAAGUAGUAUAGUGACCUACCCAGGGCCACAGGGCCACUAAGAGGCAAAGCUGGGCCAAGUGUAGGGGUGCCGUGUACACCUCUCCACUGCACUGAAAGAUCCCCUGGAAUCUGGAGUCAGCACUGGAACUUCAGUGACCCAGAAGACCCUGAGGAUGCAAGAACUGGAGGAAACGACAAGCACCUGGGUGACAGGAAUGUGCUGGUUGAUGCUUCCUGCUGUAGUCAACAGUCCUAGUUCUUUGUGAGAGAAGACACGCUCCUUUCUCAUUGUCACCCAUCCCACAGGCCCUCAGGGGAUGCCAACACCAUAAAAGAACACAAAACCUGGAUGCCAUCUUUACGUGAGGACAUCCUUCACCUUCUUUUCUGGGGCCUCACCCCCUCGAAGCCUCCACCACUCCACGGAACUCUCUUUCUGCCCUGUGUGGGAUUAACCAGAUGGAGCCCAGUAAGAAGAACCUAUAGGACCCCGUCUUCGACUUGAAGGCUUGGAACUUGCAAGAUGAGCAGCAGGGUGAGCCCAGUGACCACAGGACCAAACGGCUCCUAGUUGGAGAGCAGUGGUAACCCUUGGAUCUGCUUCGGAUGACUUUUUGUUUAUUUGCUUUGCUGUCAAUUGGUGUCACUUGUAGCCAUUGAGUCUUCCUUCAAUAUGCUGUUUCUCAUCACAUUAAUUUCUUUUCUAGUAAAAUGGGAAUCAAAACAGCUGCUUAUCCUGGUGGCUUGGGCACACACCCAACAGACACCAUGUGAAUCCCUCCUGUGCACACCACGUGUCAGGGGAGUGGAGAUGCCCAAUGCUACGUGGGGUCUGUGCCCUUGGGAUGCCCGCACCCAGUGCUGGCAACUAGACAUGAGCAUCCAGAAGGAGUCACCAGAGGGGCUGGCUUUGGAAAGGUCCCCGAGGUGUCGGGGAGAACUGAAGGAGAACCUGUGAAGUUAUGCUUUCCAAACUGGGGACAGCAGGAGCUCAUUGCUGGAGCAAGAUGGAGGUGGCCUGGGGGCCUUCCCAGGUUGCUGAGAUGUGACAGAUUCAAAUGAGAGUUUCCAGAACAUCUCUGCCUCUCCCAACCAGUCCCCUUCCAAUGCAGUUAAUAGACCGGGGUCAAAUCUGGGCCUCAGCAGUCCCACCAGGGCGGGCUGGCGCCUGGAGUCAUCGUCACGCUCGCUCUGAGUCUACAUCAGGAGCAGGCCAGUGCCCUUGAGGACCAAGAUGGCAGGAGGUGGCUGGGGAAUCAUACAAACUUGUCUGAGUUCUACCCUGUUCCUUCCUGGGUGUUUGCAAGAUUUAAAACACAAUAUUUUAAAAAUAGUACUUUUGCAUGAUUCAAUGCUCCAAGGUAUAUCUGAUGAAAUUCUUAUCAAGGUUUUCCUUUAUCUACACAGACCUCC
This is a long non-coding RNA of Sciurus carolinensis (gray squirrel), 1516 nucleotides long. RefSeq lists it as uncharacterized. The record is from RefSeq and is a predicted model, not a curated record. The transcript is spliced from 4 exons. Lineage: Eukaryota; Metazoa; Chordata; Mammalia; Rodentia; Sciuridae.